RNAcentral lists this long non-coding RNA (366 nucleotides) under Equus asinus (donkey). RNAcentral describes it as "lncRNA (ENSEASG00005038020.1)". Lineage: Eukaryota; Metazoa; Chordata; Mammalia; Perissodactyla; Equidae. The record is from RNAcentral.
CAGACAGUUUCACGGAGGCCUCGAUCCCCAGUCUGCGCAGCCGGAGACGUCCGCACCCUCGCUACCCUCCCAGAAUGCCCUGGGUGUACGGGCUCCAUGCAGGACCCGCCCCAGGUCUGCACGGCAGUCUCCACGUGGGCGCCCCACAGGCACCAACCCACCCGGGGCCCAAACUGUGUGCCAAGAGCUUGAAUGAAUGAGUGGCUGAAUGAACGACUGUCCAGCAGAGGCCAUUUGGAGCUCAAGGAGGGAAGGAGCCUUUCCCAGUGCUUGCUGUUUUGUUCAACUUUCCUGCUUCUGAGAGGCGCCUGACUCUUGGUUGGAGACCUGUGGCCGCCUGUCCCCCACAGCCACAGCGGAGCGGGG